UGCGGGCAAUGUUUACAAAUCUUCCGUGACAAAAAAAAUUAUAAGUUGAAAGUGUUUGCUAGUAAAGCAAGAUACGAAAUAGUAUUUUUCUAGUAAUAAUGUCCUGAAAGUGCAUCGCAUACAAGUGUAAUUCAACGCAUAAAACUAAGGGGGUGCAUUUUCUUUCGAUUCCCAAGCGUGAGAAGCGGUAAAGUGAUGGAGCGUUCGAAGCAAAGACUCCAUGAAUGGCUGAAUGCUCUUGGAUUCCGGGACAGUUCCAACCCGAAGAACAAAUAUAUAUGUGGCCUGCACUUUAUUUCCAGUAAAGCUGCCUGCCUUUCUGACGCAAGAAAUGUGGAUUGGAUUCCUUCAAUUAACAUCGUCAAGAUGAAUUCAGAAGAAUCUACUAAUAGCAACUAGCAAGUCGUUGCUGACUACUAGCCGAUUCUGUAGUGAUAAACAGUCCAAGCUUCGAAUUCUUUGAGGGACCUCUUCUGGAUGCUUCCCAAUUGAACUCCACGGUAUUACCACCGAAUCUAUCAGCGAAUAAUGUUUCUACAGCUCAUGAUUGCUCCGUGCUUCUCCAUCAAGCUGACAAUGUCACAGCCGAGUCUAUUGGAGUUGGUCGAUUAAUUGUCGAUCAGAAUGACUAUGAAUCAUUUGCGAGAGAUUUGUUGGAAGAAGCUUUCUACUGAAUUGCUACUGAAUUGCUCAACUAAUUCAAAUGCGUCAUUUUUCAUUUUUAUGAACGAAUUUGGAAGGUAAGCAAGUUUUUCCAAACCUAAUUGAUCAUUCAAAGAACUUUUAGUAUCCAAUCGAUAAGGGCAUCUGAUUUCAACCACGAAUUUUCAGCAGCAUUGGCAA
Long non-coding RNA from Aedes aegypti (yellow fever mosquito), 843 nucleotides. RefSeq lists it as uncharacterized. The record is from RefSeq and is a predicted model, not a curated record. The transcript has 3 exons. Lineage: Eukaryota; Metazoa; Arthropoda; Insecta; Diptera; Culicidae.